AGUAUUUUAAAUUAUUUAAAAAGUGAACUAGGCUGGCUGGGUGUGGUGGCUCACACCUGCAAUCCCAGCACUUUGGGAGGCUGAGGUGGGUGGAUCAUGAGGUUAAGAGAUCAAGACCAUCCUGGCCAACAUGGUGAAACCCCAUCUCUACUAAAAAUACAAAAAUUAGCCGGGUGUGGUAGCGCGCGCCUGUAGUCCCAGCUACUCAGGAGGCUGAGGCAGGAAAAUUGCUUGAACCUGGGAGGCGGAGGUUGUAGGGAGCCGAGAUCGCGCCACUGCACUCCAGCCUGGCACCUGGCUAUGGAGCUAGACUCUCUCAGAAAAAAAAAAAAAAGUGAACUAGGCAAACUUAGAUAAGUCUGUGUAUUCUGUAAGCUUUUGCUACAUUAAUAGCAAGGAAUAGUCCAUACCAAAUAACUGUGGUUAGCCCAAAAUCAAAAGUAUUUCCCACCAUAGACCACAAUUCCUUGGUUUUUUUGAAGGAAUUGUGGUUUUUUUCCUCCACUGUUUCACAUAUCUGUCCUAGCGCAGCUCACUACCUUGUUUAAAUUAAACCUAACUGCUCUAACAGCAUUUAAAUGACAUCUCCACUGUAAACCAAGAGUGGCUAUGAGAUCAUAUUUGAUAUGUGUUUAAACAAGUUGGUCCAUUUUGAGACAUAUCUAGAAAAUAUUGCAUAUAAUCAUUGAAUCACUUCAAAGAAUGUCCUUGCUAUUGUCAGAGUUGAAGCCAUGUCUCCUAGGAACAUACUGACAGAUGUUUAAUCAAUUUGUGGGCAUUUGUGUUUGUGCUAUGCAGGGCCUUCUGAAGUACAAGGCUCAGGGCAGGCACCCUACUUGCCCAAGUCUAAGAGUGGCAUUGCAGACCAAUAAUAAAUGCCAUGUGGGACCAAUACAUAUAUUGACCAAUGUUUCAGAAACUAGAGAUUUAUCUUCUUCCAGGCAAAGGUUCAUUUGAGUAAUAAAAAUAAAUCUUCCAAAAGGUGAGGAUCAUAUUCUAUAAUCUACUUAUAAGGUAAUAAGUACAAUUUUGGGAAUAUAAAUAGCAUCUUCUAAGAGCCAGAGCUUUUUGGAAUGGUUACCUGUUUUUUUCUUUUCUUUUUUUUCCCUCAUAACAUUCUUGGAGUAUGGUUACUUCUUAGUUCAAUAUACUUAGAAGUAUGCCUAGAAGUACAAAACAUUCGCAUGAAAAUGAUGUUUUCUUGCUAAUUCCCUACAUAGUUUGCUCAGGCCUAUCUCAUUGCCUCUAUUUUUUGCUCAUAUAGAUCUAAGACUUCAAAUGCUUACAAAAGUCCUUUUUGCUCUCUACUUUUCAUCACCCUUGAAUUCAGAAUGCAUCUUAUAGUCAAUGGCAUCUUGAAAUAGAAUAUAGCAAACUGUUAAUGACAGUUGCCUCUGGGGAAUUGUGUAUUGUUUACACCUUCUGCAAUAAAAAUGCAUUACUUUUUGAGACUUCAGUUUCCUAGAAGAUAGAAAAAGUUUAAAUUAAGACUGGGCGUGUUGAUGCAUGUCUGUAAUCCCAGCACUUUGGGAGGCCAAGGCAGGAGAAUUGCUUCAGCUCAGAAGUUCAAGACCAGCCUGGGCAAAAUGGUGAAACCCCAUCUUUACAAAAAAAUACAAAAACUAGCCGGGUGUGGUGGUGCACACCUGUAGUUCCAACUACUUGGGAGAAUAUUUUGAGCCUGAGAGGUCAAGGUUGCCAUCAGCUGAUUGCACCACUGCACUUCAGCCUGAAUGACAGAGUGACAGCCUGUCUCAAAGAAAAAAAAAAAGAAAGAAAGAAAGAGAAAAAAUUUAAAUUUAAAUUAAAUAAGUUAAUUUUUAUUUUAAAUGAAAACAUAAAUAUAAUGCAUUACUUUUAUAAUGAAAACAAAUUUUCAAAAUUUUAGACACAAAAUCUUAGGUGGUUUCUGUACCUUGUCUCUUAGUACUAAAAGAGUACUGAGACAGUAAUAACAGUAAUUAAUAGUUUAUGAAGUUUUAUAUUCAUAAUGGAUUUUAUAAGCCCCUCAUGUUAGCAAUUGGCAUGAUACUUCAGAGGUGAUCUUCACAGCAUUUAACUGUGAAUUAUCCAUGAUGGAAACAUUCAUUAGAGCUCCUUGCUACUCACCAUAUUAUACUGCAGCUAUUUAGUCAUUUUUCCCACCAGAAUGAGAGCUCCUUGAAGGCAGGAACUGCUCACUCAUUUUUGUGUCUCCAGGGCCUAACACAAAGCCUAU
Long non-coding RNA from Callithrix jacchus (white-tufted-ear marmoset), 2218 nucleotides. Lineage: Eukaryota; Metazoa; Chordata; Mammalia; Primates; Cebidae. The record is from Ensembl.